GAGUUUACAACUCCCAAACCCCUGUGAACAUACCAAUUGUUGCCUCGGCGGAUCAGCCCGCUCCCGGUAAAACGGGACGGCCCGCCAGAGGACCCCUAAACUCUGUUUCUAUAUGUAACUUCUGAGUAAAACCAUAAAUAAAUCAAAACUUUCAACAACGGAUCUCUUGGUUCUGGCAUCGAUGAAGAACGCAGCAAAAUGCGAUAAGUAAUGUGAAUUGCAGAAUUCAGUGAAUCAUCGAAUCUUUGAACGCACAUUGCGCCCGCCAGUAUUCUGGCGGGCAUGCCUGUUCGAGCGUCAUUUCAACCCUCAAGCCCAGCUUGGUGUUGGGACUCGCGAGUCAAAUCGCGUUCCCCAAAUUGAUUGGCGGUCACGUCGAGCUUCCAUAGCGUAGUAGUAAAACCCUCGUUACUGGUAAUCGUCGCGGCCACGCCGUUAAACCCCAACUUCUGAAUGUUGACCUCGGAUCAGGUAGGAAUACCCGCUGAACUUAAGCAUAUCAAUAAGCGGAGGAAAAGAAACCAACAGGGAUUGCCCUAGUAACGGCGAGUGAAGCGGCAACAGCUCAAAUUUGAAAUCUGGCUCUCGGGCCCGAGUUGUAAUUUGUAGAGGAUACUUUUGAUGCGGUGCCUUCCGAGUUCCCUGGAACGGGACGCCAUAGAGGGUGAGAGCCCCGUCUGGUUGGAUGCCAAAUCUCUGUAAAGUUCCUUCGACGAGUCGAGUAGUUUGGGAAUGCUGCUCUAAAUGGGAGGUAUAUGUCUUCUAAAGCUAAAUACCGGCCAGAGACCGAUAGCGCACAAGUAGAGUGAUCGAAAGAUGAAAAGCACUUUGAAAAGAGAGUUAAAAAGUACGUGAAAUUGUUGAAAGGGAAGCGUUUAUGACCAGACUUGGGCUUGGUUGAUCAUCUGGGGUUCUCCCCAGUGCACUCUUCCAGUCCAGGCCAGCAUCAGUUUUCGCCGGGGGAUAAAGACUUCGGGAAUGUGGCUCUCUUCGGGGAGUGUUAUAGCCCGUUGUGUAAUACCCUGGCGGGGACUGAGG
RNAcentral lists this ribosomal RNA (1038 nucleotides) under fungal sp. RNAcentral's name for it is "eukaryotic LSU rRNA". The stretch from base 458 to 1038 matches the Rfam family "Eukaryotic large subunit ribosomal RNA", at positions 1 to 593 of the family's 3401-position model. Lineage: Eukaryota; Fungi. The record is from RNAcentral.